CGCGUAGGCGGUUGUGAAAGUCAGAUGUGAAAUACUUCGGCUCAACUGAAGAACUGCAUCUGAAACUUCAUAACUCGAGUACAGGAGAGGGAAACGGAAUUCCCGGUGUAGAGGUGAAAUUCGUAGAUAUCGGGAGGAACACCAGUGGCGAAGGCGGUUUCCUGGCCUGAUACUGACGCUGAGGCGCGAAAGCGUGGGGAGCAAACA
Molecule: ribosomal RNA, 207 nt
Filed under: uncultured Syntrophorhabdus sp.
Lineage: Bacteria; Pseudomonadati; Thermodesulfobacteriota; Syntrophorhabdia; Syntrophorhabdales; Syntrophorhabdaceae
Description: partial 16S ribosomal RNA
Rfam family: Bacterial small subunit ribosomal RNA
Source: RNAcentral